GGUCUCCUGGCCCAAUGGUAAGGCGUCUGACUACGGAUCAGGAGAUUGUCGGUUCGAGUCCGGCGGAGAUCA
Non-coding RNA from Cantharellus anzutake, 72 nucleotides. The record is from the annotation of a RefSeq genome assembly. NCBI's taxonomy places the organism in Eukaryota, Fungi, Basidiomycota, Agaricomycetes, Cantharellales, Hydnaceae.